RNAcentral lists this unclassified non-coding RNA (296 nucleotides) under uncultured fungus. Its description in RNAcentral is "sequence contains ITS1, 5.8S rRNA gene". The stretch from base 248 to 296 matches the Rfam family "5.8S ribosomal RNA", at positions 1 to 49 of the family's 154-position model. Lineage: Eukaryota; Fungi. The record is from RNAcentral.
UUUCCGUAGGUGAACCUGCGGAAGGAUCAUUAUUGAAUACGAUUGGUACUGAUGCUGGCUCUUCUAGGGCAUGUGCUCGCUUUUCUUUCAAUCUUCAUCCACCUGUGCACUUUUUGUAGAGAGUCUGAGAAAAUGGGCCUUGUAAAAGGGGCACAUAGCAUUGGGCUUUCUAUGUCUUACACACACUUAAUGUAUGUUUUUGAAUGUCUUUUACAAGGGACUUGAUUGACCCUUUUAAAAACAAUACAACUUUCAGCAACGGAUCUCUUGGCUCUCGCAUCGAUGAAGAACGCAGC